Small nuclear RNA from Protopterus annectens (West African lungfish), 166 nucleotides. RefSeq annotates it as U1 spliceosomal RNA. The transcript has a single exon. Lineage: Eukaryota; Metazoa; Chordata; Ceratodontiformes; Protopteridae. The record is from RefSeq and is a predicted model, not a curated record.
AAACUUACCUGGUUGGGGGAAUACCAUGAUCAAGAAGGUGAUUUCCCCAGGGUGAGGUUCUUCCAUUGCAGGCUUUGGUUGGGUUGACCCUUGUGAUUUCUCCAAAUACGGGAAACUCAACUGCAUAAUUUAUAGUAGUGGGGGAUCGCAUUCAUGCAGUUCCGUG